CGUGUUUGUGUAGGAUGUUUUUCAAUGUAGAGAAAAAGACAGAAAUCCGCUACUUUCGAGAGAUGCAGCUCCUGGGUCGGAAAUACUGCAAAUAGUCACUUAAAAAGAAAAAGGAACGCGGCUUAUGCGAAUAUUUCUUACAGAUUAUUCUGUCCUUCAUUAAAAAGAGGGGGAAAAAGGCAGGGGCAACAACGCGGGGGGAAGAGAUGAUGUGGAUGUUGCCCCAGCCGUGAGGCGCUUCACUACAGUUUCGCCUCCGUCGCUUUACGAACUCCAGCUUGCCGUCACUGCGCUCUGUGGCGCUCAUGAACCGAAAGUUCUCGCGAGAACGAGAGGGAUGCGCUGUUAUGAUCUCGGCCAUCGAACGGGAUUUUCCGCUGCUUUACAAAACAAAUACCUGGCGCCUGUAAAUUCCAGAAUGUAUUGUUCAGGUACGUUUAGCCUCCAGGCAUUCAGAAGAAGAAAGGAAGUCCAACCGCCUCGCCUGGUUUCCAGCAGUUCCAGGUGUCUCUGUUUAAACUGUGCCUUUGCUGUUGAAAUGACUGCAACAGAAGAGAGUCUUUGUCUUGAACCUCAUACAAUGGAGGCGAGAAAGAGCAUUGAAACUCGACCACAUUGUUAAUUAGCUACUCGAAAUAAAACCGUUGCCUAAAUGAAACACGAACGUCUGUGCUUCUGUUUUACAUACAGCAAAUUAUGAAAUUAUAAAAUGUGCUCACAAUGUAGGGAAAACAGGAAUCUGCUUUGGGGGAAAAAUGCAGUACAGGCGGCUAAAUUAACACAUUAAGCCACGUCUUAAAAAUAAACCUAAAGUCUUCUGUGUUGUUUAGGGUUAGGGGAUAGACAAUACCAUUUGCGCAGUAGACUACAAUAACAAAAUACGUCAGUGGAAAAUCAUGUGUGGGUGAUUAUUAGGGAUGAGAUUACAUUUGUGAUUGUUUACUAAAAUAUGCAUUUACUGUUUCAUUAAUUCAGGUAUGUUAAUGUGUUUUGUAACAUUUAUAACCUUCUAUGAAACUCUUAAGAGGAAAACAGAACCUCUUUCUGACACGAGAUUCAUCUCCGCCACUCUUAUGGCUGUUGAAACGUUUACAAACAAUCUUUGGCCAUGUGGCGUUUUUAGAAUUCUGGUACUUGUAGUCUCCUGUGCCUCUACCGUCUUUCCUUUAGCCUGCAGUGACGACUACAUUUCCCAGAACGUCUGCGUCAUCAGCUGAUUGCCGCUUGUGUUUUUCGGAUGUGAUGAUGGCAAUAAAGGACCCUGCGGACCGUUUUUUUUUUCACCAGACGAUCUUUUGGGUACACUGCUGGAAUAGAGAUGACCUCUGACGGCUAGACGAGCACAGUUUUCCUUGACUGAUUUUUACUUUUUAGAUAUUGAAGAGACUUUCAUAACAAACUCUUCACAUUUUAAAUAGGUAAGUUUAUGAUUUAUAUUAUGACGUUAAUUCUAUUCUAUUCUAUUCUAUUCUAUUCUAUUCUAUUCUAUUCUAAUAAUGAAUAUAAAAUAUGAGUAUGAAACACAUCUUUCGACAUUUCAUUAUAAUGUAUGUAUUUACAUAUCCCGCGCAAAUAAUGCAAAAUAUAUUAUUUGUACACUUUUAUCUAAAAUUCUUGAUAUCGAGUUAUCUGUUGUCAACAGUGAGGCAUAACUGCGA
This is a long non-coding RNA of Carassius auratus (goldfish), 1658 nucleotides long. The record is from Ensembl. Lineage: Eukaryota; Metazoa; Chordata; Actinopteri; Cypriniformes; Cyprinidae.